RNAcentral lists this ribosomal RNA (880 nucleotides) under Fuscopostia sp. RNAcentral's name for it is "partial large subunit ribosomal RNA". It matches the Rfam family "Eukaryotic large subunit ribosomal RNA", at positions 89 to 952 of the family's 3401-position model. The record is from RNAcentral. Lineage: Eukaryota; Fungi; Basidiomycota; Agaricomycetes; Polyporales; Fomitopsidaceae.
GCGAGUGAAGCGGGAAAAGCUCAAAUUUAAAAUCUGACGGUCCUCGUGGUCGUCCGAGUUGUAAUCUGGAGAAGUGCUUUCCGUGCUGGACCGUGUACAAGUCUCUUGGAACAGAGCGUCGUAGAGGGUGAGAAUCCCGUCUUUGACACGGACUACCAGUGCUUUGUGAUGCGCUCUCGAAGAGUCGAGUUGUUUGGGAAUGCAGCUCAAAAUGGGUGGUAAAUUCCAUCUAAAGCUAAAUAUUGGCGAGAGACCGAUAGCGAACAAGUACCGUGAGGGAAAGAUGAAAAGAACUUUGGAAAGAGAGUUAAACAGUACGUGAAAUUGCUGAAAGGGAAACGCUUGAAGUCAGUCGCGUUGGGUCGGGACUCAGCCUUGCAUUUGCUCGGUUUAUUUUCCGGUCAACGGGUCAGCAUCAGUUUCGAUCGUCGGACAAUGGCCAGGGGAACGUGGCAUCUUCGGAUGUGUUAUAGCCCUUGGUCGCAUACGAUGGUUGGGACUGAGGAUCUCAGCGCGCCUUUAUGGUCGGGGUUCGCCCACGUUUGCGCUUAGGAUGCUGGCAUAAUGGCUUUAAACGACCCGUCUUGAAACACGGACCAAGGAGUCUAACAUGCAUGCGAGUGUUUGGGUGGAAAACCCGAGCGCGUAAUGAAAGUGAAAGUUGAGACCUCUGUCGUGGAGGGCAUCGACGCCCGGACCUGACCUUCUGUGACGGCCCUGCGGUAGAGCAUGUAUGUUGGGACCCGAAAGAUGGUGAACUAUGCCUGAAUAGGGUGAAGCCAGAGGAAACUCUGGUGGAGGCUCGUAGCGAUUCUGACGUGCAAAUCGAUCGUCAAAUUUGGGUAUAGGGGCGAAAGACUAAUCGAACCAUCUAGUAGCU